RNAcentral lists this long non-coding RNA (1069 nucleotides) under Homo sapiens (human). RNAcentral's name for it is "HSALNT0283461". The record is from RNAcentral. Lineage: Eukaryota; Metazoa; Chordata; Mammalia; Primates; Hominidae.
GAGUAUAUGAGAGCAAAGAGCGAAGAACCAUGGGAAGUGAGAAAAGCUGGUGGGGGGAAGACAAGGAAGGAACAACUGCCUGUGAGCCUUGAACAAGCUACUUCCAUUUUCUGGCUCUUUAGUCUCCUCAUUUGUAAAAUGAGGGGGCUGGAGUAAGUAAGCUCUAUAAGGCUCUCAGCUGUGACAUCUAUGCAUAAUCACAGAAGAUCGAAGUGUACAGAACACCAUGGAAACUGAAGAGAGAUUCUGAAAGGAGGCUUUAAGAGGUCACUUGCAUCCAAUGCUGCAGAAGUGUCAGAGACUGAGGACUUAAAUGAAGCCACUGAUUAGCAAUUUAAAGAUCCUCUCCAAGACAGGGUCUCACUGAGUGCAGCGGCACGAUCUUGGCUCACUGCAACCUCCGCCUCCCAGGUCCAAGCGAUUCUCCUGCCUCAGCCUCCUGAGUAGCUGGCAUUACAGGUAUGAACCAUCAUGCCCAGCUAAUUUUUGUGAUUUUAGUAGAGACAGGGUUUCACCAUGUUGACCAGGCUGGUCUGGAACUCCUGACCUCAAGUGAUCCGUCUGCCUCGGCCUCCUAAAGUGCUGGGAUUACAGGCAUGAGCCACCGUGCCUGGCCGCUUUCUGCAUUUUUAGUGUCACUCAACCCUUGUUGUCUCUGAUUGUCAAGGCAACGACUACGUGUAAAGUAAUGUGGACAGAGUCUUGGACAGAGAAAUGCCUCAGAAAUGUUUUGUGAUGAAGAUGAAGGAGAGGCGCUGGAAGCAGAAACUGGGGAGGGGGUAGGAUUCGUGUCUCCACUUACUCUCCACCCCAGCAGGGACAGAAAGCAUGCCUCCUCUUUCCUGUUCAUUGGCUACAUUCCUCUCUGAGGCCAGAGGGGCAAGCUGGACAAUGCAAAUGAACUUUGGAUGAGACUUAGCCAAGGGGCCUCCAAAGGGAGAGCAGCGGGGCUGCUUAGGAGGGAAUAAAAAAAUAAGGUGGUCACCUAUUUCUUAGCACCUUCUUUGUUUUCCCAAUCGGCAAACUCCUGUCCUCUCCUGGAGAUCCAAGACCAAAAUGCAAAAGCUCC